RNAcentral lists this ribosomal RNA (383 nucleotides) under uncultured eukaryote. RNAcentral's name for it is "SSU rRNA". It matches the Rfam family "Eukaryotic small subunit ribosomal RNA", at positions 587 to 972 of the family's 1831-position model. The record is from RNAcentral.
AGCUCCAAUAGCCUAUAUUAAAUUUGUUGCAGUUUAAAAGCUCGUAGUUGAACUUGUGGUUUGUUUGGCUUGGUCCAACGCUCAUGCGUUGGUACCUGAGCCAUGCUCCCAUCCUUGGGUGGAACCUGUGUGGCAUUAGGUUGUUGUGCAGGGAAUGCCCAUCGUUUACUGUGAAAACAUUAGAGUGUUCAAAGCAGGCUUGUGCCGAUGAAUAUAUUAGCAUGGAAUAAUAAGAUAGGACUUUAGUACUAUUUUGUUGGUUUGUACACUAAAGUAAUGAUUAAUAGGGACAGUUGGGGGUAUUCGUAUUUAUUGUCAGAGGUGAAAUUCUUGGAUUUUUGGACGACGAACUACUGCAAAAGCAUUUACCAAGGAUGUUUUCA